This 253-nucleotide ribosomal RNA is filed under the name uncultured bacterium. RNAcentral's name for it is "partial 16S ribosomal RNA". It matches the Rfam family "Bacterial small subunit ribosomal RNA", at positions 524 to 776 of the family's 1533-position model. The record is from RNAcentral.
UACGUAGGUGGCAAGCGUUGUCCGGAAUUAUUGGGCGUAAAGCGCGCGCAGGUGGUUUCUUAAGUCUGAUGUGAAAGCCCACGGCUCAACCGUGGAGGGUCAUUGGAAACUGGGGAACUUGAGUGCAGAAGAGGAAGGUGGAAUUCCAAGUGUAGCGGUGAAAUGCGUAGAGAUUUGGAGGAACACCAGUGGCGAAGGCGACUUUCUGGUCUGUAACUGACACUGAGGCGCGAAAGCGUGGGGAGCGAACAGG